CCCAGUGGAUGUUCUUAUAUACAGUUGGAACGACUGAUGAUUGAUCCAAGGGGUAUCCCACUGUGCACAUAUUUGGAUAAAAGGAGGCUGCCACCAUGCCCAUCUAUCAUUGCUGUGUCUGUUCUAGCAGGAGCUGUUUUUUCCAGACAUACAAAUUGAGAUCCUGAUGCUAGAGAUUGUACUUAUGACCUCCCAGAUGCAGACAUCGAAGCUGAACUUCAAGAAUAUGGUCAAGGUGGGGAAACCUUGCACGGACACUGAAUGAGGCAAUUAAACAUUUUCUUGCUCCAAAACAAAUGAGGUUUAAGUUCAGAAGAACAGACCCUUCUAUGAAAUGAAACCAAAGCAGGAAGUUCAGCAAAUGUGUUCUCUACCUGCAAAGAAAAUUAUUCAGCUCUCAGUCCAGUACUGUCAUGUACAAUUAUGGUAAGAACACACCCUGAAUAAACUAGAAAACAUUUCUAAUAUGGCAUCAACCUGGGACAGGUAAGCUGUUGUUGCUCAUCUUGUUUUAACUAGGCUGGAAAAAUUGGCAAGAAAUCAUUUAAUCAUCUGAGCCAAUGUGAAAUUCAGAAAAUGAGUAGCCGUUUCCACCAGUCCUGCAAACCCCUUCAAAUGCAACUGGAGGGAUACUUGGGUUGCACCAGGGGGGCUUCAAAGAGUGGCAACCACUGCCACCAGACCAGUAAGAACCUUAAUCUGUUUGUAAAGGUGCCCUCUUGCUGCCCCUCGGCUUCACUUUAGAAGACAUUUCAAGGA
Molecule: long non-coding RNA, 759 nt
Organism: Hemicordylus capensis (graceful crag lizard)
Lineage: Eukaryota; Metazoa; Chordata; Lepidosauria; Squamata; Cordylidae
Exons: 3
Source: RefSeq, a predicted model, not a curated record